GACGAACGCUGGCGGCGUGCUUAACACAUGCAAGUCGAACGGUAAGGCCCUUCGGGGUACACAAGUGGCGAACGGGUGAGUAACACGUGGGUGAUCUGCCCUGCACUCCGGGAUAAGCCUGGGAAACUGGGUCUAAUACCGGAUAGGACCCUGGGAUGCAUGUCCUGGGGUGGAAAGCUUUUGCGGUGUGGGAUGGGCCCGCGGCCUAUCAGCUUGUUGGUGGGGUGAUGGCGUACCAAGGCGACGACGGGUAGCCGGCCUGAGAGGGUGACCGGCCAGACUGGGACUGAGAUACGGCCCAGACUCCUACGGGAGGCAGCAGUGGGGAAUAUUGCGCAAUGGGCGCAAGCCUGAUGCAGCGACGCCGCGUGAGGGAUGACGGCCUUCGGGUUGUAAACCUCUUUCAGCACCGACGAAGCGCAAGUGACGGUAGGUGCAGAAGAAGGACCGGCCAACUACGUGCCAGCCGCCGCCGUAA
This 478-nucleotide ribosomal RNA is filed under the name uncultured bacterium. Its description in RNAcentral is "partial 16S ribosomal RNA". It matches the Rfam family "Bacterial small subunit ribosomal RNA", at positions 28 to 523 of the family's 1533-position model. The record is from RNAcentral.